Molecule: ribosomal RNA, 467 nt
Filed under: uncultured bacterium
Lineage: Bacteria
Description: partial 16S ribosomal RNA
Rfam family: Bacterial small subunit ribosomal RNA
Source: RNAcentral
ACGCACGCUGGCGGCGUGCUUAACACAUGCCAGUCGAACGGAAAGGCCCUGCUUUUGUGGGGUGCUCGAGUGGCGAACGGGUGAGUAACACGUGAGUAACCUGCCCUUGACUUUAGGAUAACUUCAGGAAACUGGGGCUAAUACCGGAUAGGAGCUCCUGCUGCAUGGUGGGGGUUGGAAAGUUUCGGCGGUUGGGGAUGGACUCGCGGCUUAUCAGCUUGUUGGUGGGGUAGUGGCUUACCAAGGCUUUGACGGGUAGCCGGCCUGAGAGGGUGACCGGCCACAUUGGGACUGAGAUACGGCCCAGACUCCUACGGGAGGCAGCAGUGGGGAAUAUUGCACAAUGGGCGGAAGCCUGAUGCAGCAACGCCGCGUGCGGGAUGACGGCCUUCGGGUUGUAAACCGCUUUCGCCUGUGACGAAGCGUGAGUGACGGUAAUGGGUAAAGAAGCACCGGCUAACUACGUG